UCCAAAAUGUGCAGUGUUGGGCUUCUACAGCAUGGGUUGACCUGAGGCAAUGGAAAGUUUUUCUUAUGCCCCUACUGAACUUUCAGCUUGAAACUCCACAGAGAAGAAAUGGAGCAGCUCAGGAGAGAGGCGGACAUUCUCAAAAACAAACUCAUCCGGCAGGAGGAAGAUAUGUUCCAGCUCCAGUCAGAGGCCAGAGAAACAAGGAGACAGUAUGAACACAGCUCUAAAACGUUAGAGUUUCACAGACUCGUACCGCACACACAGUUUUGAACUCGCUCGGAUGGUGUCACAGUACCAGCACACUCAACAGAAAGUGCCUGACCUCAGAGUCACUGUGUCAGAGCUGAAGGACGAGGUGCGAGGUCUCGUCCUGAGAGAAACCCUCUCCACACCUGCACAGGUACCACAGAAACCAGAGCCAUCAAAUAGGUGGAGGCACCAGUGUGUCCGUUUAAAAUCAGACCUGACAGGAAAUGACCUCAGCGAUGCUGGAAGUGGGCUUAAUAGUAACCUUGACAAUAAUGCUGAAGGUGUGGAGAGAGUUUCAGACAGCCCUCCAGAUCUCAGUCUCAGUGACCUCUGACCUUAAACCUGAUGGAAACCUCUGUCUAAUGUUGAUCACACAGCCCUUCCCAAACCCCACAUAAAGUGCAAGAAAACUACCCAACGGACAGGAACUGAUAGCCACG
Cyprinus carpio (common carp) is the source of this 692-nucleotide long non-coding RNA. RefSeq lists it as uncharacterized. Lineage: Eukaryota; Metazoa; Chordata; Actinopteri; Cypriniformes; Cyprinidae. The transcript has 7 exons. The record is from RefSeq and is a predicted model, not a curated record.